GAAUGGCUGCGGCAGCGGGCGUACUCGCGCGGCGUACCCGAGCUGGUUUUGCCCUUGCCGGCAGCAAGCGUGCUUCGCAUYUUGCGAACAAAGCCCCGUUUAUCUCCGGCCCCGGAGUAUGGGUGACCCAUAAGGCGUAGGCUCUCUAGCUCGUUGCUGCGGCACCCGGUUGUUGGGUUCGUGCACGCCUGCACGUGCCCUGCACCAUGUGUCGCCCACGGAACUGCAGGUGGGGCACGGCGUCGGGGUUCUCCGCGUCGUGUCCCGCCUUUGCCCUGCAAAACCUGUUUGCUUACGGAAGCGCUAUCCAUACGUCGUGUCCUUUGGCUGUGGCCGGUUCCGCUUGGGCGUGAACUCGGCUGUUGACUUCUCCGCGCGUCCCCUACAGCAGCGACGGGCUCGUCCCUAGGUUGUACGGGUAUGUGCGGUUU
This 431-nucleotide unclassified non-coding RNA is filed under the name Rogeria longiflora. Its description in RNAcentral is "partial external transcribed spacer". The record is from RNAcentral. Lineage: Eukaryota; Viridiplantae; Streptophyta; Magnoliopsida; Lamiales; Pedaliaceae.